ACGAUGGUUUUUUUAAAAACCACCGUAUAUACCUUAAUUAUUUUUUU
Molecule: non-coding RNA, 47 nt
Organism: Ipomoea nil (Japanese morning glory)
Lineage: Eukaryota; Viridiplantae; Streptophyta; Magnoliopsida; Solanales; Convolvulaceae
Source: Rfam